Molecule: ribosomal RNA, 400 nt
Filed under: uncultured Desulfuromonas sp.
Lineage: Bacteria; Pseudomonadati; Thermodesulfobacteriota; Desulfuromonadia; Desulfuromonadales; Desulfuromonadaceae
Description: bacterial SSU rRNA
Rfam family: Bacterial small subunit ribosomal RNA
Source: RNAcentral
UCCCGACUCGCACUUUCUGGAAACGAGGGAGGUCGAGUUCGGCUGGAUCGGUGACAGGUGCUACAUGGCUGUCGUCAGCUCGUGUCGUGAGAUGUUGGGUUAAGUCCCGCAACGAGCGCAACCCUCGUCCUUAGUUGCCAGCAUUCAGUUGGGCACUCUAAGGAGACUGCCGGUGUUAAACCGGAGGAAGGCGGGGAUGACGUCAAGUCCUCAUGGCCCUUAUGUCCAGGGCUACACACGUGCUACAAUGGCCGGUACAAAGGGUAGCAAGACCGCGAGGUGGAGCCAAUCCCAAAAAGCCGGUCUCAGUUCGGAUUGGAGUCUGCAACUCGACUCCAUGAAGUUGGAAUCGCUAGUAAUCGUGGAUCAGCAUGCCACGGUGAAUACGUUCCCGGGCCUU